AGAAUCAACGCUGGCGGCGUGCCUAACACAUGCAAGUCGAACGAGAAAGUGGAGCAAUCCAUGAGUAAAGUGGCGACCGGGUGAGUAACACGUGACUAACCUACCUUCGAGUGGGGGAUAACCUCUGGAAACCGAGGCUAAUACCGCAUAACAUCGUGAGAUCAAAGCAGUAAUGCGCUGGAAGAGGGGGUCGCGGCUGAUUAGUAGUUGGCGGGGUAAUGGCCCACCAAGACUAUGAUCGGUA
This 244-nucleotide ribosomal RNA is filed under the name uncultured bacterium. Its description in RNAcentral is "partial small subunit ribosomal RNA". It matches the Rfam family "Bacterial small subunit ribosomal RNA", at positions 26 to 285 of the family's 1533-position model. The record is from RNAcentral.